UGCCUGAAUUUGAGGAUGUUGAAAAUAUUGGAAAUUAGUGAAAAUAAGGAAGAGGAAGAUGUGAUGCAAGAAAUUGAUAGUGGAAAGCAAAAGGGAACAAUUCAAGGUAGUGGUACUAGUGCUUCAAAAAAAACCAAAAGUUUCAAAACCACAAAGCAGUAAAGGACCUAUUCAUACUUAUUGUUCACUUAAACCGACCGUUAUGGGAAAAAGUAUGAGGCAAACUACUAUUAAUGAAAA
Molecule: unclassified non-coding RNA, 240 nt
Filed under: Hevea brasiliensis (rubber tree)
Lineage: Eukaryota; Viridiplantae; Streptophyta; Magnoliopsida; Malpighiales; Euphorbiaceae
Source: RNAcentral